UACGGAGGGGGCUAGCGUUGUUCGGAAUUACUGGGCGUAAAGCGCACGUAGGCGGAUUGUUAAGUCAGGGGUGAAAUCCCGGAGCUCAACUCCGGAACUGCCUUUGAUACUGGCAAUCUUGAGGCUGGAAGAGGUUAGUGGAAUUCCCAGUGUAGAGGUGAAAUUCGUAGAUAUUGGGAAGAACACCAGUGGCGAAGGCGGCUAACUGGUCCAGAUCUGACGCUGAGGUGCGAAAGCGUGGGGAGCAAACAGG
Molecule: ribosomal RNA, 253 nt
Filed under: uncultured bacterium
Lineage: Bacteria
Description: partial 16S ribosomal RNA
Rfam family: Bacterial small subunit ribosomal RNA
Source: RNAcentral